Molecule: ribosomal RNA, 253 nt
Filed under: uncultured bacterium
Lineage: Bacteria
Description: partial 16S ribosomal RNA
Rfam family: Bacterial small subunit ribosomal RNA
Source: RNAcentral
UACAGAGGGGGCAAGCGUUAUUCGGAAUUAUUGGGCGUAAAGGGCGCGUAGGCGGCCUGGCAAGUGGAUGGUGAAAUCCCUCGGCUUAACCGAGGAACUGCCAUCCAGACUGCUUGGCUUGAGACCGGGAGAGGUGAGUGGAAUUCCCAGUGUAGCGGUGAAAUGCGUAGAUAUCGAGAGGAACACCUGCGGCGAAGGCGGGUUGCUGGGCCGACACUGACGCUGAUGCGCGAAAGCCAGGGGAGCGAACGGG